This 233-nucleotide ribosomal RNA is filed under the name uncultured bacterium. Its description in RNAcentral is "partial 16S ribosomal RNA". It matches the Rfam family "Bacterial small subunit ribosomal RNA", at positions 109 to 334 of the family's 1533-position model. The record is from RNAcentral.
CGUAACACGUGAGCAACCUGCCGAUCUGAGGGGGAUAGCCGGCCCAACGGCCGGGUAAUACCGCAUACGGUUGAUGAGGGACAUCCCUUGUGAACGAAACCUGGGGUAACCUGGGGCAGAUCGAGGGGCUCGCGGCCUAUCAGCUAGUUGGCGGGGUAACGGCCCACCAAGGCGACGACGGGUAGCUGGUCUGAGAGGAUGGCCAGCCACAUUGGGACUGAGAGACGGCCCAG